Molecule: long non-coding RNA, 1714 nt
Filed under: Homo sapiens (human)
Lineage: Eukaryota; Metazoa; Chordata; Mammalia; Primates; Hominidae
Description: HSALNT0191460
Source: RNAcentral
UAACAUCUUAUAGUUCUCAAAAAUAAAACUCUGAAAGCUAUGUUAAAUAUAUUUCUUACUCUUGCACAUGUGAGUAAGGUCAGAUCCAGGUCAGUGUCAAGAUGUCCUGGCCAGAAAUCUCUUUUGAUCUCUAAAAUUGUCUGAUGAAAGUUAUGUUCUUUCUAUAGUUGGUAAUCCCCAAAUGGAUUUUAUGUAUUUUAGUAGUAGCUAGAAAUUUGGUCUUUAAACAUCCACUCAAAGUUUUGUAUUGAUAUCACCCUUUUGACAUGCUAUAUCAUGAAAAUAUGUACAAACAUGGUGAAAUUUAUCAAAAUUAUCAUUGAACUAUACAGAUCAUGUAAUGUGAGUGCAGUAGUUGAACUUACUACUGAAGCAUGCAUUCCCCUAUAGAGUUGAGAUUCUAUCCUUUCAUCAGAGAAGUACUGUCUGAAAAAAAUCAGGGGAGGAUCACGUACUAAAAAAACCCUCCUGAGGUUCUCAAAGAAAAACAAUUUAGAAAAUAUCAUUAUGAACUUUGAGAAUAAAUAAUUAUGUUGGAUAAAAGCCCUGCAGGCCAUGUCUUUUUUUUCUUAUUUUUUGCAUCAAUCUAGAGGCAGGAGGAGGACAAUGUGCAAGGCAACACUCUGCCCAUUCAACCUAGAGCUCCUCAGGGUUUAAUCUUAAUUUUUCCUUUCCAGGGGCCUCAUGUCUACAAUUUAUGAGGAUGUCAGUCAUAAGAUAUUUUUCCAGCAUGGACCAAAUAUAGCAUGUGUUGAAACGUGUAAAGAAAGCCAGAGGGAAGGGUAUGUGAAGAAAAGCUGUGGACUGAGGAAUCAAAGGUGGCUGUCAACCAGGAAUGAUUUUGUUCACCAGGGGACAUUUACUAACACCUGGAAGUAUUUUUGAUUGCCACAACUGGAGACGUGUUACUCCCAUCUAGUGUUAGAGGCCAGGGACGCAGCUACAAUGCCCGGAGCCAUCUUUCACGGCAAUAAUUUGGCCCAAAAUGUGAAAAGUGCUGAGGUUACACUGCUUUAGUGUAUCUUGUUUGUGGCCCAUCCAGACAGACCUCCAUUAUUGGCUGAUGCAUCCAUGCUCUAGUUGCCGUGAGCAUUAGCUGAUAAUGAUGCUUCUUAAUGACUCUCUUCUCCAGAUAAUUGAAUCUAAAUAAAUUGGAACCACCUUCUCCAGGAAGGCUACAAACCACAUUAUCCCAUCCCACCUCAGAUAAUGUCCAAUAACUGACUAAUAUAUGAGUACAAAUUGUGUUUCCUUUUUCCCAUCUCAAGUGGGAAGGAACUCUGUGGGUGUUUAUCUUUAGCUGACACUGAAUUCUUAGAUUUUUCUAUUGUCCCAUUAUGCCCCUUUGCUCUCCUUCCCUUGAGGAUACUCCCACAAUAAAUCACUUCAUCAAGAAUAUCUUCUUCAAGUUCUUCUUCUAAAGAAUUUGAUGUAGGACCAUGUUGCAUGGCCCUGGGAAGCAGAUUCAACAAAUGGAAUUCUGGAGAUGAAUCACUUUCAUGUCAGAUGCUAAUGAGGACUUCAACACUGGUAAUAGAGAACUAAUAGUUGCUGCUAUGCUUUUUAUUGAGUUUGCUAAGAACUUCUUCUCUAGUGAACUGAUGUAGGUUGAAGAGGACAUGUACUAACACAUGCAUUUUCUCUGGCAUUUUAGAGUCUGGAGCAAAUAGUAUCUAUAAGAACCAUAGAAUUAUGUGGCUACUGUGAAUUGGCA